AUGAUACUCCCUUUGUCCCAAGAUAAGUGACUCAAAAGUGACUCUACUUUGUACUAAACUUAGUACAAAACUGAGUCAUAUUUGAGUCACUUAUUUUGGGACGGAGGGAGUAUUUU
Molecule: non-coding RNA, 116 nt
Organism: Hordeum vulgare subsp. vulgare (domesticated barley)
Lineage: Eukaryota; Viridiplantae; Streptophyta; Magnoliopsida; Poales; Poaceae
Source: Rfam